CAGCAGCCACGGUAAUACGAAGGGUGCAAGCGUUAAUCGGAAUUACUGGGCGUAAAGCGUGCGUAGGCGGUGAGUUAAGUCUGCUGUGAAAUCCCCGGGCUCAACCUGGGAAUGGCAGUGGAUACUGGCUCGCUAGAGUGUGUCAGAGGAUGGUGGAAUUCCCGGUGUAGCGGUGAAAUGCGUAGAGAUCGGGAGGAACAUCAGUGGCGAAGGCGGCCAUCUGGGACAACACUGACGCUGAGGCACGAAAGCGUGGGGAGCAAACAGGAUUAGAUACCCGCGUAGUCCCUGUCUCUUAUAU
This 301-nucleotide ribosomal RNA is filed under the name uncultured bacterium. Its description in RNAcentral is "partial 16S ribosomal RNA". It matches the Rfam family "Bacterial small subunit ribosomal RNA", at positions 509 to 809 of the family's 1533-position model. The record is from RNAcentral.